RNAcentral lists this unclassified non-coding RNA (200 nucleotides) under Chaetothyriales sp. RNAcentral describes it as "partial internal transcribed spacer 2". The record is from RNAcentral. Lineage: Eukaryota; Fungi; Ascomycota; Eurotiomycetes; Chaetothyriales.
UUAAGUUCAGCGGGUAUUCCUACCUGAUCCGAGGUCAACCUUGUUAAAAGAGAUGGUUGAAACGGGGGUCGUGGGCCACGUCAAUGCGUGCUUGGAAAGCUCGUUGCAUCUAGGGUCCGACACGACUCCGUCAUUGUCUUUGGGACCCGUCCGGGGACGACGGGGUCCAACAGAAGCCAGGCUUGAUGGUCGAUAAUGAC